Molecule: long non-coding RNA, 5825 nt
Filed under: Triticum aestivum (bread wheat)
Lineage: Eukaryota; Viridiplantae; Streptophyta; Magnoliopsida; Poales; Poaceae
Description: long non-coding RNA (TAES_LNC011875)
Source: RNAcentral
UACAAGUAUCUGCAUUUUGUCGAAAGUUCUUUGGUAUAGCCCCCUCUCCAUCAAAGUAGAAGAGUACGUGUUGAUUUUCUCUCCCUUAAUCGGAUUGAUAUCAUACAGAAGCUGCUACAGAUGAAUGAAUAUGGUGCAGUUGUUCCAUUCAUUAUUUUGGGAGCAUGAGUUUCAGUAAACAAAAUGCAGGUGUUCGUUGCAUGUGUCCAUUCAAUAAGGGCUUCGGCGACGGUCCGCUACUGGUGGCCGCCUCACCGUGGUUAAGUUUGGCAUAGUCACAUGUGUCGCUUGCUAUUGUGGCCGGUCUCCAGGUACAUAGCAUUGUUCCUAUUCAUGCCUGUGUAUGUAGUGUUGCUCCGUUAAAUCACUUGUUCAUCUUGUUUGUUCCAACCACGCUGGAUGCCUAGUACUAAUAGCUUGCACUAGCCUCUACAUGAGCAUCUCAAGCCGUUGUUAAUAGAUGUGAAUAGUACUGAUUGUUUUGCUUGAGUUGGCGUCUCAGAUUGUACCGGAGCAUGUGUUUUCACAAAUAGUUCAGGUUUAGAAUUGCCAAAAGUUCGAACAUAGUGAGAUGGAUGGGAAACUACGAGACAAAGAUGAUAUUGGACAAAGCAAAAUUAGUAAAAGAAAGAAAACGCUAGAAGUUCAACUAGGGUAACUUAAAUAGUUCAUGAAAAAUAAAUAUAAAAGUUCAAAGAAGAGGGUCGGAAAAGAUUUGGGAAAAGACACACACAAAAAACAUGGAAAAGGUCAGUUAAAAAAUACUUGCCAUAGUUAAGAGUUUAUUUGGAGUGGUUAGCAAUUCAGUAACUAGAAAAAGGGUACAUUAGUUCAAAUAUACUUGCCAUAAAUUUCGUAUUUCGUAUUUCACCACCAAGUAAACUAAAAGCUCUCUGUUUGAUAGAAUAUCUCAUGUUAUAACUUAUAAAUUUGUCUAGAUGCAAGGAACAAAUCUCCGGCCAACUUUUGCUUCAUUGAAAUAAAUCAAGCUGUGUUUUGUCGACAACAUGGUGGCAGCCCUUCACUGAAAUAAAUCAGGUAUGUUAGCCGCAAGAGUUCAAAAAUCAGUUGUUUUUCAACUGAAUAAAACGUGUCACGCAAGUUCAAGUAUACCUACAGUAGGAGUUCAAAAAUCUGAGAAAUGAAGCUCAAACCAAGUUCAAAAAUUGUUUCCUUCAUAAAUUAGUUGUUUUUAGUUAAUUCGUUGUUAUGGACAAUACAAAUACACACUGCUCUGUAGUACAUGUGUGUAUUGUAAUUGUAAUAGUGCUUUGGAGUUCAGAAAAAGGUAACAAUAAAUGUUCAUAGAAGAACCCAAAACAUUCAGUAGUUCUGGAAACCCAAAUUUCAGUUCAACAUGUUUUCUAUCAUCAGCUCAUUAGAACCUCGGAAACGGUUCAAUGUGUGUCUUCAAAAAAAAUAGUGUGGCUAUUUAUAUUAAAAAAUGCUACUUUCAUUCGUUUGGUAGCCUUCUUUAAUUAUCACUUAAUGUUCAGCCUUUCCAAUUGCAGUUUUCACAUCAGGUGACAUGCCAAAAAAAUCUAACCUCACAACUCAACGCAGGGUCAGACCAGAUGACAGUUUUCAUGAUGUAAUUUAUCAUCAGUUCAUAAAGUAAACACAAAUACAGUUUCAUGUGUGUUAUAGAAAAAACAAUUAGGUUUAUACAUUAUAUAGUAGUUCAAUAUGCAGGGGCUUCGGCAGCAGUUCAACAAAAAAGAUUUUACAUCAGUUCAAACGCUGAUAGUUAUUUAGUUCAAACAUGAUUUUUGAGAAAAUUAUUCCCCAGCUAAGUUCGAAAAUGUCAUCCCGUGAAGUUCAGAUAUUGAUGUUGAUUUCUAUGUAGAAGACAAGUUUAAGGAGCUGACAAUUCUAUAGGGAAUUACAUGCCAAGAAUUUAAAGGGAUGAAAUAACCUUGGUUGUUACUUGACAUUGGUUCUACUAUAACCGAAGCUGCAUGUUGCAAAUUCGGGAUGCAUAAGCUAGCAUAGUUAUGCUUCUGAAGGUUCAACUUUUUCUUGACAAACACACAGCAGGUUGUUAUGCUUCAGAAGGUUCAACUUUUUUUGGAUUUCUCUUUGGUGUAUGAGGACUAAAAUAAUUCAUUCUUUCCAGAUGUUCUUGUAUUAGUUCAGGUGUUGCCCCUCCGCCUCCUUCUGGUACCCUCAGCGACGCUCCCCGCCACCUUUCAGCGUUGUCCUAGUGGGUGGUCCGACACGGCUGCGUCCAGCGGUCCAACACCGCCACCGGAGGCCGUUCAACGUCCCAGCGCCUCCUUCCCAGUCAUUGUGAGGUACGCCCUGCUCGAAAUCUUUCCUCUCCAUCUCCCGACGGUGAAGAUUUUCAUGCCCCGCGUUCGAACUGCCAUUUUAUUUUGAAUUGAACUAGGGCUGCUCUUGAUUCAGACCUGAGGGAAGAAGGAACAACCUCUCUCUUGUAGGCAGUAAUAUUGCUCUCUCAUAUCAUCUCUCAUCUCAUAGGCAGUAAUAUUUUGAUGAAUGUGUUACUCAAAAAAACAAAAUGAUGUAUUGACAAUCAGUAGCUUAGAGAGAGUAGCAUAGAGAAAAGUUGUUGUGUUCUGGAUAACAAACAACACAUGUGACAGUAAGUCCAGGUAUUUCUACAUGAGGAGUACAAAAUUACUUUUACUGAGAGUUCACUUGAAUCCUUGAUAGCUACUGGCCAUAGGAACUUAACCCAGAAAAAAUGUGCAAAAAAGAACCAUUCUGUACUACCAUUAGUAUGUUGUGUAAUGUUUUAUUUUUUGCUACCCUAGCAAUUAAUUAGCACAGCUUUUCAAGAGUUGCACUCUCAUUAUUUAUUUCUUGUACUGUUAAUUUUAUUUUCAGAACCGAACUUGUACAUGGUACAUAAGUUCCAAUAGUAGCUUCUGUUGCAAAAAAAUUACAUAAUCAAGCAUUCUUGCUGUGUUGCAUUUCUUUCCAAAUAUAUAGAUUGCCAGUUUUGAAUCCGAUUCUCAAAUAGACAAUCGUAAUUCUAUUGCCAGUUCUGAAAUAAAGCAAUGUUUGUGUAACAGUACCAUAACAGCACCAAAACAAAUCCUCAUCCUUGGUAACUUACUGGCUUUGAUCUUCUAGGGCAGCAUUAUGAGAUCCUUGGUUUACUUACAGGUAGGCCAUCAGUUCAAACCUAACACAGAAACUCCUUGCUUGGCAUUUGAGCUCUUGUUUUCUCAAGACUAGUACUAGUAAAUGUUAUUUCACUAGGUAUUCUUUCCUCAGUCCAUAGAGAAAUGUGCGAAUAGUUCGAUGUGUGUUGGAGAGAUAGUUUUGUUUUAUAUAUCAUAAGAAGAAAAGAUCAUGUUUCCUAAGGGGAAAAUCAAAAACAUUAUUAGCAACUCGCUAUGUAUUCUACCAUCAGUUCUGUGUGUAUUAGAGAGAGGGUUCGGUGUCUCAUUGUUUUCACUUUCCCAGAAAAAUAUGUUUUAUUGCAGAUUAGGAACAUUGUAUUUACAUUUUUUUAAACAAAGACUUCAUAUAAGUUCGAAAGAAAAAGCGUUGAAAGUUAAAUCGAAAGCUCUCACCACUUUCCUUUCUAUUUCUUAAUUAUUGUAGGACAUUUCAAGCACUGAGCAAAAGGGAUUAGGAUAAAUUGCAGAAGUAGUUGUAGGAUGCUAAAGUUCUUUUGACUUUCCUUUCUCUCAUUCUUCAUGUACCGACUACCUGCUUCAUUUUUUCUGGUUUCAAAAGUAUAAGGGGAAGAUGUAGAGGGUGGACUACUCAGGGCAUUGCUGCUGGAGUUGUGGCAUAUUCAUGAGCUCCUGUAGAGCUACCGAUCCAUCGAGCCGCUCAUGUCGAUGAAAUGCAUGCUAAUUAAUUCCCUUGAAAAUGCCAUUGGUGACCUCAAUCUUCUUUCUUGACAGGAGACAAGAGGGAGCGUCAGCACUGAUACAGGGAGAUGCACACCAAACCUGUCGCCCGAGGCCGUUUACCAUUGCAGCGCCCCUUCCCCAGCCAUCAUGAGGUACACCCUACUCAAAAUUUCUCCUCUCCAGCUCUCGACUGUAAAGAUCUUCGUGCCUCCAUUCGAACUGUCAUUUUAUUUUGAAUUGAACUACGGGUGCUCUUCAUUCAGACCUGAGGGAAGAAAGGCAGAACCUUUCUUUCGUAGGCCGUCAUAGAUGGAUCGGCAAGGUUUUUUCCGGCUCACUGUCAGUGAUAAUAAACAAGUCAUUAGUCAAGAACAUUCGUUGGAUAAUGAAUUAGAUGUUCUAGGACCUUCAUAGGUUGUACCGGGAAUUAGGCGAGCACAUUCGUGGGAUAAUGAAUUAGGCGACCAACAGUCCAACCCGACUGCCCCAAGCAGUUCACCGUCGCAGCUGCUAGGCUGAUUGCGUCGAGCCUCCUGCCACUGCCGGUGGGGCUCCAUCGCUGCACUGCCCAUACCGUUCACCGCCGCCACACCGGGUCAUUCAAGGACACAACCCGAAGCAGUUCUACCCUGCGGCUCAAGAGGCACACACUUCGCCCCUCCAUCCCAGGAGAGCAGUACAUCUCCUUGUGCACGAGCAGUCCAUUGCCAAUGUACAUAGAUGAGAGGAAUUAAGUUCAGGAAGAUUAAAGGGUAAUGUUUAGAGAUGAGGCUGAGGGAUCUGGUUCAACACCCAUCACCCUUGUUUGGUUUUAUCAAUACUUGAUAAAUUACUAGAAGUUCAAAACAAGAUGUAGAAAUUCAUGUUUCCUGUGUAUAUAAGUUGUAGAAGUUGAUGCUUAAUAUUCUAGUUCGUGCUCCUCUGCAGGUCAACCUCCUGGGAUACACGAAGUUUCAGUUUGUCGAGAGGCUUCCUGGAGGUUCAAAACAUUUCACUUCACCUUUUUAGGCUUUUUCAGUACACCUUACAAAGUGUGUUUCCUUUCAUCAUUUUUGUCUACUUAAAAAGAAGUGUAGAAGCUUUAGGAAAUACCCCCAAAAUUAUGUGUGCCCUCAGCACUCUUCUACGUGCUUAUUCUAAUGCUUAUGAGAAUUAUUCUUCAAGGUCAUAAUUUGGAACUAGAUAACUUUUCAUAGAUGAUUGUACUGAAGCUAGGUGUUUAACAGAAUUAUUUCUCAUAAGUUUGCAACUCACCUUGGUCUGGGUUUACAUCUCAUCCACACCAGUUCACGAAAAAAGUUGGAACUUGCAUCUAUAUUUAUGUUUCCAGUUACCUUCGGUUAAUUGUACUGAACUUGUCUAAUUGUAGCUUACUAGUACUAAACUUUUGUGCCUGUGCUACCUUUUGUAGAUAGUUUUUGCCAUGUGCUUCUAUUGAACUUGUGUGUGGUUGCUUUUGAACUGUUCCUUAGUGAUAAUUCCUGGAAUUUGAAAUAAAUGCAUAUGUGAUGCACAGUUGCAGAUUGUAUAUCAUGGCAAAGACUAUUUCAAUGGGAGGUUCAACCAGAAGAGUUCAAAACACAAGAACUCUAGGAGUUCGCAGAACAAAAUCUACUGUGAGAGUUUGCACUUGUGUGUGCAGUGCAUGUGUUAGGUGUAUGUCUUUUGUGUAUGAUCUGGACACUGAAGAAAGAAAACACAAGGACUCGGUCCAUGUAUAAUUUUCUACCGUUUUUGCACUAAAAUCUUUGGUCUGAAAUGUAUGAGUUUUGUACAAUAUUUGGCUUUGUAUGUUGUAUCUAUAACAUGUGACUUAUAGCGCCACUGUUUAUCGAAAGAAAAAUCCAGUUACAGCCUCUGCAGUUACAUUAUUGUGGAAUUUUUUACUGUGAAUAUCAUACCUCUAAAAAUUUAUUGCACAAAAAUAACUUCAGUGGUUAUUUUGAGAAGUACAAACUCUCUGGUACGAUAAGUUCGAGUGGAAGCUCCCAG